CCUACGGGUGGCAGCAGUAGGGAAUAUUGGUCAAUGGAUGCAAGUCUGAACCAGCCAUGCCGCGUGCAGGAAGAAGGCCUUCUGGGUUGUAAACUGCUUUUAUCUGGGGAUAAAAAGGGGGUGCGCCCCCAACUGAAGGUACCAGAUGAAUAAGCCACGGCUAACUACGUGCCAGCAGCCGCGGUAAUACGUAGGUGGCAAGCGUUGUCCGGAUUUAUUGGGUUUAAAGGGUGCGUAGGCGGUCUAUUAAGUCAGUGCUGAAAUAUCCCGGCUUA
This 275-nucleotide ribosomal RNA is filed under the name uncultured Ohtaekwangia sp. RNAcentral's name for it is "partial 16S ribosomal RNA". It matches the Rfam family "Bacterial small subunit ribosomal RNA", at positions 338 to 611 of the family's 1533-position model. Lineage: Bacteria; Pseudomonadati; Bacteroidota; Cytophagia; Cytophagales; Fulvivirgaceae. The record is from RNAcentral.